Molecule: ribosomal RNA, 497 nt
Filed under: uncultured bacterium
Lineage: Bacteria
Description: partial 16S ribosomal RNA
Rfam family: Bacterial small subunit ribosomal RNA
Source: RNAcentral
GAUGAACGCUGGCGGCGUGCCUAAUACAUGCAAGUCGAGCGAACAGACGAGGAGCUUGCUCCUCUGACGUUAGCGGCGGACGGGUGAGUAACACGUGGAUAACCUACCUAUAAGACUGGGAUAACUUCGGGAAACCGGAGCUAGUACCGGAUAAUAUAUUGAACCGCAUGGUUCAAUAGUGAAAGACGGUUUUGCUGUCACUUAUAGAUGGAUCCGCGCCGCAUUAGCUAGUUGGUAAGGUAACGGCUUACCAAGGCAACGAUGCGUAGCCGACCUGAGAGGGUGAUCGGCCACACUGGAACUGGGACACGGUCCAGACUCCUACGGGAGGCAGCAGUAGGGAAUCUUCCGCAAUGGGCGAAAGCCUGACGGAGCAACGCCGCGUGAGUGAUGAAGGUCUUCGGAUCGUAAAACUCUGUUAUUAGGGAAGAACAAAUGUGUAAGUAACUAUGCACGUCUUGACGGUACCUAAUCAGAAAGCCACGGCUAACUACGUG